GGCCCGGGCUCCAGCUCCGCCGCCGCGUUACCUGAGAAGGGCCGGCACGUCCAACGCUCCGCCCGCCCGCUCGCUCGCCCGCCCGGCCCGCCCUCCCUCCUUCCCACCCUCCCGCUCGGCCAGGGCCGCCCGAGGUCUGUGCCGCGCCUCCCUUCUCCCGCUGGCGGCUUCCCUUACCUUGUGAAAACAAAACAAAACAAAAAAUAUCCUCUCCGCGGCAGCCCCCGCCUCUUCCGUAAGAUGUGACAUGGCGGUCGGCGAGGGGAACUCGGGAAGCCGCCAAAACCCUGCGCCCCUCUGAGCCUAUCCAUGCUAUCGGCGCUCCCCGGGCCCCGCCGCAGUGACCCGGCCCACAGGCCGAAUCAUCGAUUCCUCGGCGCGCGGCCCGGCUUCCCGCCAGCUUCUUCCCCAGCCGCGCGCUCCGAGCGGGGGAGAACCCCCUCCUCGUCCCCUCCCACCCCGGGCGCGCGCCCGCCCGCCUCCUCCCCCCCCCCCGUCGCCGCUCGCGCGCGCGCACACACACACCCCUCCUCCCCUCCCCCAGUGGUUGCGUCCGUGACAUCAUCAUCAUGGCAACAAGAGCUGCAGCCUGGGACCGAGGAGCCCGUGUGAUUCCCGGCGGCGGCGGCCGUGGCGGCAGCAGCAGCGGUACCACCCGACCCGACGAACGCGCGAGGGCUUCUCUCCCGCUGCCUCUCGCCCGGAGCGUCUGAGGAGGCGGCGGCAGCACACAGCCUCCGCAGCCUCCGCGCGCCGCCGCCGCUGCCGCUCGUCCCGGCGUCCGUGCGAGGGGCGGGGGGGAAAAGCCGAACCGAGGAGGAAGGGGAGGAGGCGCCUCUGCGGAGCCCGCCGCCGCCGCUGCUGCCAGGUCGCUGAGUGGAGGGGAGGCGGUGGCGGUGGCGGCGGCGGCGAACAUGUUUUCUGUGCGGAUAGUGACUGCCGACUACUACAUGGCCAGCCCGCUGCCGGGGCUGGAUACCUGCCAAUCCCCGCUCACCCAGCUCCCUGUCAAGAAGGUGCCGGUGGUACGAGUCUUCGGGGCGACCCCGGCAGGUCAGAAGACAUGUCUUCAUCUACAUGGCAUCUUUCCUUACCUCUAUGUGCCAUACGAUGGUUAUGGACAGCAGCCAGAAAGCUAUCUUUCUCAGAUGGCAUUCAGUAUCGACAGAGCACUUAAUGUGGCUUUAGGCAAUCCAUCUUCCACUGCUCAGCAUGUGUUCAAAGUGUCAUUAGUAUCAGGAAUGCCUUUUUAUGGUUAUCAUGAGAAGGAAAGACACUUUAUGAAGAUCUAUCUUUACAAUCCUGCAAUGGUGAAAAGGAUAUGUGAACUUUUGCAAAGCGGAGCCAUAAUGAAUAAAUGUUACCAGCCUCAUGAAGCGCAUAUUCCCUACCUCCUACAGCUCUUCAUUGACUACAAUCUUUAUGGAAUGAAUUUAAUAAACCUGGCUGCUGUCAAGUUCCGAAAAGCAAGAAGGAAAGGUAAUGCAUCACAUGCAACUGGAUUAUUCAAGCAUCAAUUGUCAGGAAAUUCUCCUGCUGGCACUUUAUUUAGGUGGGAAGAGGAUGAAAUACCAAGUUCUUUAUUGUUGGAAGGUGUUGAACCCCUGAGUACAUGUGAACUAGAAGUGGAUGCCGUAGCUGCUGACAUCUUAAAUAGGCUGGACAUUGAGGCUCAGAUUGGUGGAAACCCUGGGCUGCAGGCCAUAUGGGAAGAUGAAAAACAGCGGAGAAGAAACAGGAACGAAAGCUCUCAAAUCAGCCAGCCCGAGUCACAAGAUUGCAGAUUUGUACCAGCAACAGAAAGUGAAAAACAAUUUCAGAAGAGACUUCAAGAAGUUCUCAAACAGAAUGAUUUCUCAGUCAGAACAUUAUCAGGAUCUGUGGACUACAGCAAUGGAUCCCAAGAGUUCUCUGCUGAGUUAACAUUACACUCGGAGAUUCUUUCUCCUGAAAUGCUACCGUGUUCACCAGCUAAUAUGAUAGAAGUCCACAAAGACACAGAUUUGAGCAAAGGUAAUACUAAACAUAAAGUAGAAGAAGCACUUAUUAAUGAAGAAGCAAUUUUGAACCUCAUAGAAAAUAGUCAGACUUUUCAGCCUUUGACUCAAAGACUGAGUGAGACACCAGUUUUCAUGGGCAGUAGUCCUGAUGAGUCGCUGGUCCAUCUUCUUGCUGGUUUGGAAAGUGAUGGAUAUCAAGGAGAAAAGAAUAGGAUGCCAUUACCAUGUCACUCCUUUGGAGAAUCUCAAAACCCCCAAAAUAGUGACGAUGAAGAGAACGAACCCCAGAUUGAGAAGGAGGAGAUGGAGCUUAGUGUGGUGAUGUCCCAGAGAUGGGACAGUGACAUUGAAGAACAUUGUGCCAAAAAGAGGUCACUGUGCAGAAAUGCCCACAGAAGUUCUACCGAAGAAGAUGACUCGUCCUCAGAAGAGGAAAUGGAGUGGACCGAUAAUAGUUUGCUUUUUGCCAAUCUCUCUAUACCUCAGUUAGAUGGAACUGCAGAUGAAAAUAGUGACAAUCCAUUAAACAAUGAAAAUUCUAGAGCCCACUCUUCUGUGAUUGCAACGAGCAAGCUAUCAGUAAGACCCUCCAUCUUUCACAAAGAUGCUGCUACAUUAGAACCUCCGUCUUCUGCUAAGAUUACCUUUCAGUGUAAACACACAAGUGCCCUUUCUUCCCAUGUUUUAAACAAAGAUGGUUUAACUGAAGACCUUUCACAACCAAACAGUACAGAAAAAGGUCGAGAUAAUUCAGUCACUUUUACAAAGGAAAGUACUUACUCCAUGAAGUACUCUGGCUCUUUAAGUAGUACUGUUCAUUCAGAUAAUUCCCACAAAGAGAUUUGUAAGAAAGACAAGUCUUUGCCGGUAUCUUCCUGUGAAAGUAGUGUUUUUGAUUAUGAAGAAGAUAUUCCAUCUGUUACAAGACAAGUACCAAGUAGAAAGUACUCGAACAUGAGAAAGAUUGAAAAGGAUGCCUCUUGCAUACAUGUGAACCGUCACAUUAGUGAGACUAUAUUGGGGAAAAACUCUUUCAACUUUGCUGACUUAAAUCAUUCAAAACGUAAAUUAUCCUCUGAAGGAAACGAAAAGGGAAACAGCACAUCUCUCAGUGGUGUAUUUCCCUCUUCGCUAACGGAAAACUGUGACUUGCUGCCGUCUUCGGGGGAGAACAGAAGUAUGGCCCAUUCUCUUGAGAGCAUCACUGAUGAGAGUGGACUAAACAAACUUAAAAUCAGAUACGAAGAAUUCCAAGAGCAUAAGAUGGAAAAGCCAAGUCUCAGCCAGCAAGCAGCACAUUAUAUGUUUUUCCCCAGUGUUGUUCUUUCUAAUUGUCUCACUAGGCCACAGAAACUUUCUCCUGUCACAUACAAAUUACAAUCUGGCAAUAAACCUUCCAGGUUAAAAUUGAAUAAAAAGAAAUUAAUAGGUCUUCAGGAAACUUCUACCAAAAGUACUGAAACUGGAGCCACAAAAGACAGCUGUACACAUAACGAUCUGUACACUGGUGCUUCCGAAAAGGAGAAUGGAUUGAGUAGUGACUCAGCUAAAGCUACUCAUGGGACCUUUGAAAAUAAACCACCUACAGAACAUUUUAUAGACUGUCACUUUGGAGAUGGGUCGUUAGAAGCUGAGCAGUCUUUUGGACUAUAUGGAAAUAAAUAUACUCUGAGAGCCAAACGCAAGGUGAAUUAUGAAACAGAAGAUAGUGAGUCAAGUUUUGUAACACAGAACUCAAAAAUUAGCCUACCUCAUCCCAUGGAAAUCGGUGAAAAUUUAGAUGGAACUCUCAAAUCCCGAAAACGAAGAAAAAUGUCUAAAAAGUUGCCCCCUGUCAUUAUAAAGUAUAUUAUUAUUAAUAGAUUUAGAGGGAGAAAAAAUAUGCUUGUGAAACUAGGUAAAAUAGAUUCUAAAGAAAAACAAGUAAUAUUAACUGAGGAAAAAAUGGAACUUUAUAAAAAGCUUGCACCUUUGAAGGAUUUCUGGCCAAAAGUUCCUGACUCCCCUGCAACCAAAUAUCCCAUUUAUCCACUAACACCAAAGAAGAGUCACAGAAGGAAGUCAAAACAUAAAUCUGCUAAGAAAAAACCUGGUAAGCAACACAGAACAAACAGUGAAAAUAUUAAAAGAACUUUAUCUUUCCGAAAGAAGCGGACACAUGCUGUCCUUUCUCCUCCCUCCCCAUCAUACAUUGCUGAAACCGAAGACUGUGACUUGAGUUAUAGUGACGUUAUGUCAAAGCUAGGCUUUCUUUCUGAGAGAAGCACAAGCCCUAUCAAUUCCUCUCCACCACGCUGCUGGUCUCCCACAGACCCGAGAGCUGAAGAAAUUAUGGCUGCUGCAGAAAAGGAAUCGAUGCUUUUUAAGGGUCCUAAUGUAUAUAACACUAAGACUGUUAGUCCUCGGGUAGGAAAAGCUAGUCGAGCAAGAGCACAGGUUAAGAAGUCAAAAGCAAGACUUGCUAACUCCUCUGUAGUUACUAACAAAAGAAACAAACGGAAUCAGACAACUAAACUAGUGGAUGAUGGAAAGAAGAAACCAAGAGCAAAGCAGAAACAGAGAGCCAAUGAGAAAAGUCUGUCAAGGAAACAUGCAAUACCUGCGGACGAAAAGAUGAAACCGCACUCUGAGGCUGAGCUCACACCGAACCACCAGAGUGUGUCUGAGCUCACAAGUAGUUCUGGCGCUCAAGCACUUUCUAAACAGAAAGAGAUGUCACAGACAGGCCCUGCCGUGGAUCACCCUCUUCCUCCUGCCCAACCCACUGGAAUUAGUGCACAACAGCGGCUGUCUAACUGCUUUUCCUCAUUCUUAGAAAGCAAGAAGUCUGUAGAUUUGCGAACAUUCCCCAGUUCGAGAGAUGAUUCACAUUCUUCUGUUGUUUAUAGUUCUAUAGGGCCCGGAAUCUCAAAAAUUAAUAUUCAGAGAUCUCAUAAUCAAAGUGCUAUGUUUACUCGAAAGGAAACAACCUUGAUUCAAAAAAGCAUAUUUGACCUUUCUAACCAUUUGUCUCAGGUAGCACAGAGUACACAGGUAUGUUCAGGUAUAAUAUCUCCAAAGACAGAGGAGAGCUCAAGUACACAAAAAAACUGUGGGUCAUCUAUGGGAAAGUUAAAUGAGUAUCGCAGUUCCCUAGAAUCAAAGCCAGAACAAGUCUGUGCCCCUAAUUUUUUGCACUGCAAAGACAGUCAGCAGCAGACUGUGAGUGUGUCAGAACAAUCAAAAACCAGUGAAACUUGUUCUCCAGGGAAUGCAGCUUCUGAGGAGAGCCAGACACCUAAUUGUUUUGUCACUUCUUUGAAAAGUCCCAUCAAACAAAUAGCAUGGGAGCAAAAACAGAGGGGCUUUAUUUUAGAUAUGUCUAAUUUUAAGCCUGAAAAGGUAAAACAAAGGUCAUUGUCAGAAGCAAUUUCACAAACCAAAGCGCUGUCUCAAUGUAAGAAUCAAAAUGUAUCAACACCUUCAGUAUUUGGUGAAGGACAAUCUGGGCUAGCUGUUCUAAAAGAAUUGUUACAAAAAAGACAACAGAAAGCACAAAGUACAAAUGUCGUACAAGACUCAACGUCUACUCAUCAGCCAGAUAAGAAUAUUUCUGUUUCUAAUGAGCAUAAGAAAGCAAAUAAACGAACACGACCAGUGACUUCUCCAAGAAAACCUCGAACUCCCAGAAGAACAAAACCUAAGGAACAAACCCCCAGACGUCUAAAAGUAGACCCUCUAAACCUGCAGACCUCUGGCCACUUGGAUAAUUCCCUAUCAGAUGACAGUCCCAUCCUUUUCUCAGAUCCAGGUUUUGAAAGUUGUUAUUCACUUGAAGAUAGCCUGUCUCCUGAACAUAAUUAUAAUUUUGAUAUUAACACAAUUGGCCAGACUGGAUUUUGUAGCUUUUACUCUGGUAGUCAGUUUGUUCCAGCUGAUCAGAAUUUGCCGCAGAAGUUUCUGAGCGAUGCUGUUCAGGAUCUUUUUCCAGGACAAGCUAUAGACAAGAGUGAGCUGCUAAGUCACGACAGACAGAGUUGUAGUGAGGAAAAGCACCAUGUCUCCGACUCCAGCCCAUGGAUCAGAGCCAGUACUUUAAACCCCGAACUUUUUGAGAAAGUAGCUAUGGAUAACAAUGAGAAUCAUCGGCACAGCCAGUGGAAAAAUAGCUUUCAUCCUCUGACAUCUCAUUCUAACUCAAUAAUGGAAUCUUUCUGUGUCCAGCAAGCAGAGAACUGUCUAACAGAAAAAUCAAGACUGAAUAGGAGUUCAGUGAGUAAGGAAGUGUUUCUCAGUCUCCCACAGGCAAACAGUUCAGACUGGAUUCAAGGUCAUAACCGCAAAGAAGCAGAUCAGUCUCUCCACUCUGCUAAUACCUCUUUUACUACCAUACUUUCCUCCCCUGAUGGGGAACUUGUGGACGCAGCUUCGGAAGAUUUAGAAUUGUAUGUCUCAAGGAACAAUGAUGUGUUGACACCAACUCCUGAUAGUUCACCAAGGUCUACCAGUUCUCCCUUACAGUCUAAAAAUGGCAGUUUUACUCCUCGAACUGCUCAUAUUCUGAAACCACUUAUGUCCCCACCAAGUAGGGAAGAAAUUGUGGCAACUUUGCUAGAUCAUGAUCUUUCAGAAGCUAUAUAUCAGGAACCAUUUUGCAGUAAUCCUUCGGAUGUGCCAGAAAAGCCCAGGGAAAUUGGUGGCCGGCUCCUAAUGGUGGAAACUCGACUUCCAAACGACCUGAUUGAAUUUGAAGGAGACUUUUCCUUGGAAGGACUUCGCCUGUGGAAAACAGCAUUCUCAGCAAUGACUCAGAAUCCCAGACCAGGGUCCCCACUUCGUAAUGGCCAAGCAGUUGUCAAUAAAGAGUCAAGUAAUAGCCAUAAGAUGGUAGAAGAUAAAAAAAUUGUAAUUAUGCCUUGCAAGUAUGCUCCAAGUCGGCAACUGGUUCAAGCAUGGCUUCAAGCCAAAGAAGAAUAUGAACGUUCAAAGAAACUCCCUAAAACCGAGUUAACUCCAGUGACAAAAUCUGCUGAAAAUGUCAGCCCUUCACUUAAUCCAGGUGACACAUGUGCAGUCUCUCCACAAGUGGAUAAAUGCCCACAUACACUUUCUUCUUCUGCACAUACCAAGGAAGAAGUCAGUAAGUCUCAAAUUGCUUUGCAAACAUCAACUACAGGAUGCAGUCAGACACUGCUAGCAGCUGCCUCUGCAGCUGUCCCUGAGGAAGAUGAAGAUGAUAAUGAUAACUGUUAUGUUAGUUACAGCUCCCCUGAUUCUCCAGGUAUUCCACCUUGGCAGCAGGCAGCAUCCCCAGACUUCAGAUCAUUAAACGGGGAUGACAGACAUUCAUCACCAGGAAAGGAGCUUUGCUCCCUAGCUGUUGAGAACUUCUUAAAGCCAAUAAAAGAUGGUAUCCAAAAAAGCUCCUGCUCUGAAUCGUGGGAGCCUCAAGUGAUCUCUCCAAUCCAUGCUAGGGCAAGAACUGGGAAGUGGGAUCCACUUUGCCUUCAUAGCACACCAGUUAUGCAGAGGAAAUUCCUGGAAAAGCUUCCUGAAGCAACUGGCCUUAGCCCUUUAUCUGUAGAACCAAAAACCCAGAAGUUGUAUAAUAAGAAAGGAAGUGAUGCUGAUGGUCUCAGGAGAGUUCUCCUGACAACGCAAGUGGAGAAUCAGUUUGCGGCAGUAAAUACUCCAAAGAAAGAAACUUCUCAGAUUGAUGGACCGUCCUUAAACAAUACCUACGGUUUCAAAGUCAGCAUACAGAACUUACAGGAGGCAAAGGCUUUACACGAGAUACAAAAUCUGACCUUAAUCAGUGUGGAGUUACAUGCUCGAACUAGAAGAGACUUACAACCAGAUCCUGAGUUUGACCCAAUCUGUGCUUUGUUCUACUGCAUUUCAUCUGACACUCCACUCCCAGACACAGAAAAAACAGAACUCACGGGUGUAAUCGUAAUUGAUAAGGACAAGACAGUCACCCAUCAAGAUAUUAGAAGUCAGACCCCGUUACUUAUCAGAUCUGGAAUUACAGGAUUAGAAGUAACCUACGCUGCUGAUGAGAAGGCUCUCUUUCAGGAGAUUACAAAUAUAAUAAAGAGGUAUGACCCUGACAUUCUGCUAGGCUAUGAGAUUCAGAUGCACUCCUGGGGCUACCUCUUACAGAGGGCGGCUGCUCUGAGCGUGGACUUAUGUCAGAUGAUCUCUCGAGUGCCGGAUGACAAAAUUGAAAACAGAUUUGCAGCAGAAAGAGAUGACUAUGGAUCAGAUACAAUGAGUGAAAUCAAUAUUGUUGGAAGAAUUACCCUGAACCUUUGGAGAAUAAUGAGAAAUGAGGUUGCCCUGACUAACUACACUUUUGAAAAUGUGAGCUUUCAUGUUCUCCAUCAGCGUUUCCCCCUUUUUACCUUCCGAGUCUUGUCGGACUGGUUUGAUAAUAAGACAGAUCUCUACAGAUGGAAAAUGGUUGAUCAUUAUGUCAGCCGUGUCCGUGGAAAUCUCCAGAUGUUAGAACAGCUGGACCUAAUUGGGAAAACCAGUGAAAUGGCCAGACUUUUUGGCAUUCAGUUUUUACAUGUAUUAACAAGAGGUUCACAGUACCGUGUGGAGUCAAUGAUGUUGCGUAUUGCCAAACCAAUGAACUAUAUUCCUGUGACACCUAGUAUUCAACAGAGAUCCCAAAUGAGAGCCCCACAGUGUGUUCCCCUCAUUAUGGAGCCUGAGUCUCGUUUCUAUAGCAACUCUGUUCUUGUUCUGGAUUUCCAGUCACUAUAUCCUUCAAUUGUGAUAGCAUAUAACUACUGCUUUUCCACUUGCCUUGGCCAUGUAGAGAAUUUGGGAAAGUAUGAUGAGUUCAAAUUUGGCUGUACCUCUCUAAGAGUACCUCCAGAUUUACUUUAUCAAAUUAGGCAUGACGUCACAGUGUCCCCCAAUGGAGUAGCUUUCGUCAAGAUUGCUAAUAAAUGUAGGCCGGAGGGGAUGGCUUAGUGCUCUAAGCAUCAGAUUUGAAAUACCUAGAGUCCCUGGAACUGCAGGUUUGAAUGUCAGCAGAGUCAACCCAGCUCAUCACUCUUCCAAGCCUUCUGUACGAAAGGGUGUUCUACCAAGAAUGCUUGAAGAAAUUUUGAAGACUAGAUUGAUGGUGAAGCAGUCAAUGAAGUCUUACAAGCAGGACAGAGCCCUGUCACGGAUGCUCAAUGCCCGUCAACUAGGACUAAAGCUGAUAGCAAAUGUCACGUUUGGCUAUACGGCUGCUAAUUUUUCUGGGAGAAUGCCGUGCAUUGAGGUUGGUGAUAGCAUUGUUCACAAAGCCAGAGAGACCUUGGAACGAGCAAUUAAACUAGUGAAUGAUACCAAGAAAUGGGGUGCUAGGGUUGUUUAUGGUGAUACUGACAGUAUGUUUGUACUACUGAAAGGAGCCACCAAGGAGCAGUCUUUUAAGAUUGGUCAAGAAAUUGCUGAAGCUGUUACUGCUACUAAUCCUAGGCCAGUGAAACUGAAGUUUGAAAAGGUGUAUUUGCCCUGUGUUUUGCAAACAAAAAAGAGAUAUGUGGGCUACAUGUAUGAAACGCUGGAUCAGAAGGAGCCAGUAUUUGAUGCGAAAGGAAUAGAAACAGUCAGAAGAGACUCUUGCCCUGCUGUCUCUAAGAUACUUGAGCGUUCUCUAAAGCUGCUGUUCGAAACAAGAGAUAUUAGUCUAAUUAAACAGUAUGUACAGCGACAAUGUAUGAAACUUGUGGAAGGGAAGGCCAGCAUCCAAGAUUUUAUCUUUGCUAAAGAGUACAGAGGAAGUUUUUCUUACAGGCCUGGAGCCUGUGUUCCAGCCCUUGAACUUACAAGGAAAAUGCUUGCUUAUGAUCGGCGCUCUGAGCCUCGAGUUGGAGAACGAGUGCCAUAUGUCAUCAUUUAUGGGACCCCUGGACUACCCCUUAUCCAGUUGAUAAGGCGCCCAGCAGAAGUCUUACAGGAUCCCACUCUGAGGCUGAAUGCCACUUACUAUAUCACCAAACAAAUUCUUCCACCCCUGGCCAGAAUCUUCUCUCUUAUUGGUAUUGAUGUCUUCAGCUGGUAUCAAGAAUUACCAAGGAUCCAGAAAGCUACCAGCUCCUCCAGAAGUGAACUUGAAGGGCGGAAAGGCACUAUCUCUCAGUAUUUCACUACUUUGCACUGUCCUGUGUGUGAUGACCUGACUCAGCAUGGUAUCUGUAGUAAAUGUCGGAGCCAACCUCAGCAUGUAGCAAUCAUCCUCAACCAAGAAAUUCGAGAAUUGGAGCGUAAACAGGAGCAGCUUAUAAAGAUAUGCAGGAACUGUACAGGUUCCUUUGACCGACAUAUCCCGUGUGUUUCCCUCAACUGCCCGGUACUUUUCAAACUCUCACGAGUAAACAGAGAAUUAUCCAAGGCCCCGUACCUGCGACAGUUACUGGACCAGUUUUAAGUUAGCAGUGUCACAGAAUUCCAGGUGCUCUCUGCUCAGUGUUUACCACUCAGUUCCUCUGCAUGGUGCUUUCUCAACCUCCAUCAAGUCAAAGAUGUUCACUGUCUGUCUGCCAUCCAAGACUAUGAAGAUUUCUGCUAACGGGAUUAAAAAGGAUACAUGCUGCUCUCUGGAUAGCUUACUUCUUACAAUGUACAAAUUCCGCAUCAUUUCACCUUUGAACAUUGUUUUAUAAUAAUACAGGUGUUGGAUUUGCUCCAGUUUAUGUACCAUCUUGUAAAUCCAUUUGAACAGAUCAUGUUUACUUCCCUGUGGAAGGAACACUGAAAACCUCUUAAAGUCAUUCGUGUGUAUUCCUUAAACUGUCUGUAUCAGGAUGUGUUGCUUAGAGAUAUCCACUCACUUUAUAAUUUUGACUGCAAAAUAUUUUGUAAAUACACUUUUUUACUUUUCAAAUAACUGAGUAAAAUAAUGUGCAAUGAAUUUUAUACAAUGAUUUUCACGUUGUUGGUAUAUCUCCUCUAGGUUUUGCUUGACUCAAAGGUAGAUUUGUUACUUUGAUCAAACUGUGCAAAUAGUACCAUGUGUAGCAUUUUUGAAACAUUCUUUUCUAAAGACCGCUGUCUUGCUAUAGCUACUAACGGGGCAUUGUGAGGAACUGUGCAAAGACAUUUUUGUUACAAACCUGUGGGCCUGUUGCAAUACUUUAAAAAUAAAAUAAAAAAAUUUAUUCCAUUUUGCUUGUUUUGUAUAGACAUUUCUAUUGCUUCUAAAUAUGCUUAAAAUAUUUUCUUUCCUUAUGUACUGUACAGUUAAUCUUAUUUGCCAUCCCUUGAACACAAAUGUGUAUUUAGGAUAUUUGUAUAACUGUAUAAAAUGAAAAAGGAAUUAUGUGGUCAGUGCAUUGUUUUUUAAACUGGAAAUCCUUUUGUUUUGAGAGUUAAUAAUGGAAACCAAAUUAAAAAUUGAAUAAAAUAUGAAAUACA
RNA transcript from Mus musculus (house mouse), 11399 nucleotides. It is a transcript of the gene named REV3 like, DNA directed polymerase zeta catalytic subunit, with no coding region annotated. The transcript has 33 exons. NCBI's taxonomy places the organism in Eukaryota, Metazoa, Chordata, Mammalia, Rodentia, Muridae. The record is from RefSeq and is marked validated.